AGCGGUGACGGCAACGGCGGCAGCGGUGGCGGUGGUGGCGCCGACGACGACGACGACGAGGAGGAGACUGUCGGUGACGACGACGAGGAUGUUGUUGUUGUUGUUGUUGUUGUUCUCGUACGUGGCACUUCUGAUAGCGAUGACUCUUCCUACCAAGUCACUGUUAUUCUCGCGAACCGAGGACACCAUCUCCUUGCUCGUCCGAUCGCGUUCACUCUCGACGACAAUGCCGACGCCCGCACUAGCCGCGACGCACCAAGGUCGCGCUACCAUGAGUAACAUCGUCGAUUAAAUGCUAACGUCAUCCUCGUCCUCGUCGUCAUCGUUCUCUCCUCUUCUUCUCGUCCUCGUUACGAGCACGAUCCAAGGCAAACGGCUGACCAAACGCACGAACCACCGAUUCCUUCGCGAAUUCCCGAGAAACAAUGUCGAGGAAAAGAGAGAAAGAAAAGCUUUCCGGGGAUAAGGAAUCGAGGAAAAGGCGGUGGUCGUCCCCCGUUCGACUGCACGACACCGAUCCUUGAUAAAAGGAGACGCCCCAACGCGGGCCACCCAGUUCGACGUAUGGCGAGCGACGGCUCACCCCGCGGAUCCGUCUGUGCUCGGGCCAACUCGCGCAGUGCCGUAUCUAGGACCACCGCCUGCUUCGACGCCAACCAAUCUUCCCCCUCCCUUCCCCACCACGCUCAUUCUCUAACCCUUCCGCGAGCUCUAAGGCACGAUCUUUUUUAUAUAAUCUUUUUCUUUUUGUUUUCUUUUUUUCUUACCCCCGCUUAACCCUCCCAACGAGGGUUCUAUAAAAACCAUCCGAUGAUGAAGAUCUUAACUGGAAGAUAGGAAAGUGGUCAUAGAUUUGAUGGUGGCAUCUUGUACAUAUUUCUGUGAAGGGAUCAGGAAGAAGAAGAGAAAAAAGAGGCCGUGAGGGUAAAGAAAGGGAAACGAUUUUAGUAUCGGGCCCCGGGAAUAGUACGGGGCGACCUGGAACCGUCGGGCACUCAGCGGCAAGGCGGGGGACUAAGGAAACCCUUGAAAUCAAUAGCCGGCCUCUACUGCCACCGCCACCCUGAUCAGGCUCCGUUCUGCGCUGCACAUCCGUCCCCUCGCAUCAUCCACCUCCCUCCUUUUACAGCUCCUCUCUCUCUCUCUCUCUCUCUCUCUCUCUCUCUCUCUCUCUCUCUCUCCGAUUCUGAUUUAUCUGCACGACGUAACCGAGGAAGCCAGGAGCCGCACUUCAGUUCGCGCUCGAACGUCCCACUAGUACGGGCACACGUCAUUCGUUGACUUUUUUAGCGGUGUUCCAUGUGACGGUGAAGGAGUAGAAGGAUCAUGAAUCGUCAGCCAAAAAUAAACCAAACUUCUCUCUCCUUCCCUCCCUCAUUUCUUCUUCUCCUUAUCUUUAUUAUUUAUCUUUCAUAUUCAGGUAGUCAAUGAUAAUAGAUUGGAUAAUUUAGCAAAGGAAUGAUUCGAAGGAUUUAAAAAAUUGAAAUAGAAAUUGAUAUAUCAUGAUAUACCAUCGAUGAUUUCGUUCGUAAUGAAACGAAGAAAAAGAUAAAAUAAUGGAAACUGAUACGAAUUGGAACACCUUUCGCCUACUCUCCAUUAGUUAACGAUCUUAAAGAAAGUAGCUCUUGCAUUUUUUUAUAUUAUUUAUUAAUUCGUUGCGAGGCUGAGUUAAACACGAUGCAGGAAGCACGUUUAUGGUAGGUGCAUAAUGCAUGCGAAGAAAUGGUUUUGCAUAUCGACGAGAACAUAUAUUCAGGGACAUUGCAGGCGUGGAGGGUUGAUGCAACUUUUUUUCCUUUUUUUUUCUCAGGCGACGUAGGCAUUCGCAAAGGUAGAAAAUCGAAAAUAAAGAUCAAGAGGAGAUUGCGCGUCACUCGAAAUAAUUUCUCCACUGCAGUGUGUAGAUUUCUCCACCCUUUCGAUGAUGACCACCCGGUGGCACCUUCACUCCUCCUCCAUUCACCCACUUCUCUGCCACGUACAAAGUCGUUACGUGUUUAUAUGUAUGUGUGCGUGUGUACGAGGAUGGUCUGAUUACGGUCUGACCUACUCUACUUCGGGCUAGGGCCAUACGAUUCUCUCUCUCUCUCUCUCUCUCUCUCUUUUCUUUUUUCUUCUCGUUUUCGAAAACUUAUCGCGCUUAUCCGACCUUUCUUUACGUAAAGCUUACAAAUUAAUUAUAAAAAUUCGGUAAUGUUCUACUGAUAAAGUUUAUUAAAAUUAAUGUUUAUAUUGAAAUCGAUGAUAAAAUGACACGAUACACAACGUCUGUCGGAUUCUUUUUUGUUUAAUACUUUUCCUAACGGACGUACAAUUCUGACGCAAAAGAUAUUAUUAAUGAAAUAUAUCAAUGAAAAGAGAUAUUUUUUUUUAUAAAGAUAUUGACGAAACUCGAGCGAUACCGUAACGAAACGAAUCCUCGGACAAAUGAAAAGGCGCGAGUGCCGUUUCGUUUUGAUUUCAUUCGAGCCUUCUUCAGCAAAAUAUGUGAAUAUAAUCCAUUGGAUUGUUCCUUCUCUCUUUGCCUCUCUCUCUCUCUCUCUCUCAUUUUUAUAUAAGUAAAUUAUUUAAUGUAUAUUUUCAACUCGUUACAGAGAUCGUCGACGGAGAUCUCAUUAAAGAGAUCUCAACCGUUUUAUAUUAUUACUAUUACUUAUUUAUUAUUAUAGAAUCUUAAACGGCUUUAUAUUAAUACGCGAAUGCACAGAACAGACGUGCAUUAUAGACACGAGUAAGUACCAUAUGUACAGAAAAACGUGGCACGGAUUAUUUUUGCCGACUUUUUUUUUUCUUUCUUUCUCUCUUCUCGUUAAGUAACACCGGAAAGCCGAUAUAUAAUAAUGUGUGUGUGUGUGUGUAUAUGUGUAUGUCAAGUCUCUCUCCUCCACUUCUCCUUAAAGAUACAACUAUAUAUUAACCUACGAUCCUUCUUGUGUCGUAAAUAAUUGUUAAAGAAUUGUUAAAGAUCUGAUAAAUCGUCUGGCGUUUUUCGCAAAAUCUAUUUCUUCAGGUUGACUGUAUUAGAUCUCAACGUACUUGUAAUAAAUAAUAGUAUAAAUAAUAAAAACGAACACAGUUGCAUUGUGUCGUAUUAUAUACGUAUGUACAUACGUACAUUACAGAAAUAUAAUUAUGAUUCAUUAUAAAUGAAAGACAAUUUAUAAAAUAUUGUGGGAGGAGAAAAAACUGAAAUCAACUGAAAAUUUAGUAAAAUUACAAAUAGGUAGUUCGCCAUUGUUGUUUUCUAUAUCUCUUAACAUAAAUAUAUAAACAUUUAAAUUUUGUGUAUACCAAGUGCGAAGACAUACUUUAUUUAUUAUAAUUUUUAGCAUGCCAAUGUAUUGAAAGUGUAUUUCUUUCAGCAUAUAUAUAUGUACUUUUUUUCCCCUUUCUCUUCUUAUUUCUUCGUUUAUUGAAAAAAAAGAAAAAAAGAAAAAAAAAAAAAAAAAGAAACCGAGCGAUACCGUGUCCAUGUAAGCCAUGCUCCACUUUAGAUUCAAGAAGAAUUUAAUGACAGAGAGGUACAAAGUACAAAUAUUGUGUAGUGUGACAUCCGAGAUAUCUUUAUUUUUAAUUUUUAUAAGACAAACAUAAAGAAAUAAAAAUUACACUGAAGCGUCAUAAAUUCAAUGCAUUAACUUCUUAAAUUAUAUGCCACUGCUGGUUGAUGCAGUCACCACUACCGUAUGGACAAUGACGAACCACUACUAUUCAGUCAGCCCCCCUUCCCUCUCUGCUGUAUCUUCCAAAUAAAUAUCUUUGAGCAAAUCGAACUACAUAGAAAAUGUAGAAUGAACAAGUUAACACAUUGGAUGUUGAAAUCAAAAUGAAAUACAAUUGAAUGAAUAAGGCGUUAUUACCUAUCACAGUGUUAACGUGCCCGAGUUAUUCUUUAUAGAACACACAUAGUGUUUACAAUGAUGCUUGAUCUCAUUAAAUGGUAUUAUUAUAUAUUCUUCAAUUACUUUAAUAAAAAAAAAAAAAAAAAAAAAAAAAAAAAAGAAAAG
Vespa mandarinia (Asian giant hornet) is the source of this 4010-nucleotide long non-coding RNA. RefSeq lists it as uncharacterized. The record is from RefSeq and is a predicted model, not a curated record. Lineage: Eukaryota; Metazoa; Arthropoda; Insecta; Hymenoptera; Vespidae.